CUACGGAGGGUGCAAGCGUUAUCCGGAUUUAUUGGGUUUAAAGGGUGCGCAGGCGGACCUGUCAGUCAGUGGUGAAAUCCCGGGGCUCAACCCCGGAACUGCCAUUGAUACUACAGGUCUUGAAUACGGUUGAAGUAGGCGGAAUGUAGCAUGUAGCGGUGAAAUGCAUAGAUAUGCUACAGAACACCGAUCGCGAAGGCAGCUUACUAAGCCGAUAUUGACGCUCAGGCACGAAAGCGUGGGGAGCGAACAGGAUUAGAUACCCUAGUAGUCC
RNAcentral lists this ribosomal RNA (274 nucleotides) under uncultured bacterium. RNAcentral describes it as "partial 16S ribosomal RNA". It matches the Rfam family "Bacterial small subunit ribosomal RNA", at positions 523 to 796 of the family's 1533-position model. The record is from RNAcentral.